RNAcentral lists this long non-coding RNA (1842 nucleotides) under Erythranthe guttata (spotted monkey flower). Its description in RNAcentral is "long non-coding RNA (EGUT_LNC003872)". Lineage: Eukaryota; Viridiplantae; Streptophyta; Magnoliopsida; Lamiales; Phrymaceae. The record is from RNAcentral.
AAAAGAAACAUUCUCAAUUUUCAUUCAUCACAAUUUUCAACUGUAUUUAAUCACGUAACACUUUGCUACCAUGAAUCUCUCAAUAAUCAAAUCAUGUCUUAAAAUACAAAAUUAUCACAUCUAGAACUUAACACUAGUUUUCUAAAAAAUAAUGAGAAAAUGUCUUGAAUAAAAUCCAGUGGCAUAAAUUUAGCUCUCAUCGUUUUUUAGCCGGCAUCAACAAUUAAUCUCGUCAUCCAAAAUAACCUGCAUGAAUCUGCAUGAAUGCACAAUAAUAUACAUCAAUUAGUAGCAAGAAAUCAAGUUAUAAGUACAAUACUAUUAUUACUAUCAGUAAUAACAUCCACAAAUACAAAACAUAAAAUCUCUCAAAUAGUAUUUUUAACAUUCAUAAGAGCCAAAAACUCAGAAAAGCUUAAAAAAUAUAUAGACAUGCACUUCAAAGAGAAACAAAAAUUAACACAGAAGAAUAUGAACAAGGCAUGAAAGAAGAUUAAUAAAACUCUAAUCGAAUUUCUUGUCUCGUCACUAAUAGCAUAUUGCCCCUAAAGAACAUACAACACAUAGAUUUACAUUGCCAAAAACUAAAAUUGAAAAAAAAAUAACACCUGGAUUGUCUUCAUUGAAGGUUUUGUUCGUAUUUCUCGGAUAACUUGUUAUUCUCUUCAAGUUUCCAAUCCUUGAAGUUCUUUAUCAGGCCAUUCUUAACAUUCGCCAAUCUAUCAUCUUUCUCCCUUAACGAAUUUUCUAUGAUCAAAUAUUAAAAAGAAUAAAAAAAUACAUUCUAGAAAAUCGGGACAAUUAUAGAUGAAAGAAAUGAAGAACACUUCUUGCUUGAUAACACAUAAACCAAGAACUCUUACAAAACAAAUCAAUUUGAGGUUUACCCUUGCGACCUGCUAAAAAAAAUAGACAAAAGAAAAGGGAAGAUAACUCAACUCAAUAUUGCAAACAAGAUCAUUAAGGUGAUAAAAAAAAAAAAAGCAAAUAUAAAUACUUAAUUAUCUCUUGCAGUGUUUAUAGUCUUAGUGAAAAGCCUCAAAAUUGUGCUCUCGCAGAACAUAUAAUUCAUAGAACAUAGAGACAAACGAGCAAGUUUAACAAACUACUGAGUAACACUAAAUGAUCACGAACAUCUUUCAAGGCAUUGAGUACAACAGAUAAUUCAAUACCUGGAUUAUCUUGACUGUUCAGUUUUUGAUAUUUUUCAGAUAGAUUCUUAUUCUCUUCCGAAUAUACAAUAUAGAGUACGACUUUGUUAAAUCCACCAUCAGAAUUCGGAAAACCUUACACCAAGCUCCAACCCUUCAUGAAGUUCUCCCUAAAUCAAAUGUGAAGAAGCACACUUAAAAAAUAGGACAUUUACAGAGGAAGAAAAUAAGGAUACAGACUUUGUACUUCACAAUCCAGAACACCAACCCAAUAAAUCAAUUUGAGGUUUAGCUUGUCCUGCACAAAAACAAAUAUAAUAAAAAUAAAAACUUAUCAUCGCGACCAAAAACCCCCCAAUCAGAGAUAAUUGUUGUAGAACCAAUUUCCCCGGUAUUUCGAUUUCGUUUUUCAAUGUAUAUAUGCAAAUACAUAUUCAACUUUACAGUUACAAAUAAUAGGAUUAGGGGUUUAAUUUUUUGAAUGGGAUAAACAAUUUUAAUAAAAAUUACCACUACAAUAAUAAUAAAUCGCCUUAAAUGAAAAAGAAAGAAGAAAGAAUAUUACCUUCAAAAGGGUACUCCCCUUCUUCAUCCGAGAACUCAUGGUGGCGUGAAAGCUUGAGAGGGAAAACAACUCUCUGUGUUGAGUGCUGAAAAGGGGAGUGAACGGUGAAUAGAUUGAAAGGGGCUA